This 272-nucleotide ribosomal RNA is filed under the name uncultured soil bacterium. RNAcentral describes it as "partial 16S ribosomal RNA". It matches the Rfam family "Bacterial small subunit ribosomal RNA", at positions 26 to 297 of the family's 1533-position model. The record is from RNAcentral.
AGGAUCAACGCUGGCGGCGUGCCUAAUGCAUGCAAGUCGAACGGGGUGCUUUCGGGCACUUACGUGGCGGACGGGUGAGGAACACGUGGGCAAUCUGUCCUGAGGUGGGGGGUAGCCUUCGGAAACGGAGGGUAAUUCCGCAUGUGCGUACCGGGUGGUAGACCGGGUACGGAAAGGGUCUUCGGGACUCGCCUGAGGGGGAGCCUGCGGCCGAUUAGCUAGUUGGUGGGGUAGAGGCCUACCAAGGCGAGUGAUCGGUAGCUGGUCUGAGA